CGAAAUUCGGCCACGAAGUCAUCAAUGUCAGCAACAUAAGGCAUAGAGUCACGAAAGACCCGUUAUCCGUAUUCUUUAUCGAUUUAAAACAGAAACCCAACAAUAAGGAAAUCUAAAACAUCAGACGCCUAAUGAACGCCAUCGUGAAAUUCGAACCACCGCAAAUCAAAAAGGAGAUAAUGCAAUGCAAAAGGUGCCAAAGAUACGGGCACACGCAGAAAUAUUGCAACCAUAUCUUCCGCUGCGUCAAAUGUGCAGGUACACAUCCCACCAACCAGUGCAGGAAAUCACCGGAAACCCCAGCGAAGUGCAUCCACUGUCAAGAAAGACUACCUCCAAGCAACAAACGUUGCAAUAGUAAACUGUCAUGGCACAAUCACCACUUCAGCUGUAUACUGCCCUCCCAGACACUCCAUCGCCAAAGAAGACUUUGAUAACUUCCUGGACACCCUGGGCAAUAGAUUCAUAGCCGGAAGAGAUUACAACGCCAAACACACCCAAUGGGGCAGCAGACUGGUUACAGUAAGAGGCAAAAUCCUCCACAACAGCAUAAUAACCAACAACCUCAACUACCUUACCACAUACGAACCCACAUACUGGUCCCCCGACACAAACAAAAUACCCGAUCUUCUUGAUUUCCUCAUAACUAAAAAUAUCUCGUCAAGACACGUCCAAAUCAAUUCCUCGGCUGAUCUCUCCUCUGAUCAUUCCCCCGUGAUAGUAACAGUCAGUUCAACUAUCAUCGAGAAUACACCUAAUGGCUCCAUUCAUAACCAACACACCAACUGGCAGCUCUUUAGAGAAGUCUUUACCCACACAACUUCAGCCUCAACUCCACUAAAAACCAAUGAAGAAAUCGAAGCAGCCACGGAAUACCUAAACACGAGCAUAAUAAACGCUAUCCGCUUCUCCACGCCGGCAAAAACGUCCAUCAGCAAUCACGAAUAA
RNAcentral lists this unclassified non-coding RNA (948 nucleotides) under Bombus terrestris (buff-tailed bumblebee). RNAcentral's name for it is "misc RNA ENSBTSG00005019779.1". The record is from RNAcentral. Lineage: Eukaryota; Metazoa; Arthropoda; Insecta; Hymenoptera; Apidae.